Molecule: ribosomal RNA, 354 nt
Filed under: uncultured bacterium
Lineage: Bacteria
Description: partial 16S ribosomal RNA
Rfam family: Bacterial small subunit ribosomal RNA
Source: RNAcentral
CCUACGGGGGGCAGCAGUAGGGACUAUUGCUCAAUGGGGGAAACCCUGAAGCAGCAACGCCGCGUGGAGGAUGGAGGUUUUCGGCUUGUAAACUCCUUUUGUUAGAGAAGAUAAUGACGGUAUCUCACGAAUAAGCACCGGCUAACUACGUGCCAGCAGCCGCGGUAAUACGUAGGGUGCAAGCGUUACUCGGAUUUACUGGGAGUAAAGAGCGCGCAGGCGGGAUAGCAAGUCAGAUGUGAAAGCCCAUGGCUUAACCAUAGAACUGCAUUUGAAACUGUAAUUCUAGAGUAUGGGAGAGGCAGGUGGAAUUCUUGGUGUAGGGGUAAAAUCCGUAGAGAGUAAGAGGAAGAC